Molecule: ribosomal RNA, 772 nt
Filed under: uncultured bacterium
Lineage: Bacteria
Description: bacterial SSU rRNA
Rfam family: Bacterial small subunit ribosomal RNA
Source: RNAcentral
UCGUAGGCGGUUUGUCGCGUCUGCUGUGAAAACCCGAGGCUCAACCUCGGGCCUGCAGUGGGUACGGGCAGACUAGAGUGCGGUAGGGGAGAUUGGAAUUCCUGGUGUAGCGGUGGAAUGCGCAGAUAUCAGGAGGAACACCGAUGGCGAAGGCAGAUCUCUGGGCCGUAACUGACGCUGAGGAGCGAAAGGGUGGGGAGCAAACAGGCUUAGAUACCCUGGUAGUCCACCCCGUAAACGUUGGGAACUAGUUGUGGGGUCCAUUCCACGGAUUCCGUGACGCAGCUAACGCAUUAAGUUCCCCGCCUGGGGAGUACGGCCGCAAGGCUAAAACUCAAAGGAAUUGACGGGGACCCGCACAAGCGGCGGAGCAUGCGGAUUAAUUCGAUGCAACGCGAAGAACCUUACCAAGGCUUGACAUAUACGAGAACGCUGCAGAAAUGUAGAACUCUUUGGACACUCGUAAACAGGUGGUGCAUGGUUGUCGUCAGCUCGUGUCGUGAGAUGUUGGGUUAAGUCCCGCAACGAGCGCAACCCUCGUUCUAUGUUGCCAGCACGUAAUGGUGGGAACUCAUGGGAUACUGCCGGGGUCAACUCGGAGGAAGGUGGGGAUGACGUCAAAUCAUCAUGCCCCUUAUGUCUUGGGCUUCACGCAUGCUACAAUGGCCGGUACAAAGGGCUGCAAUACCGCAAGGUGGAGCGAAUCCCAAAAAGCCGGUCCCAGUUCGGAUUGAGGUCUGCAACUCGACCUCAUGAAGUCGGAGUCGCUAGU